Molecule: non-coding RNA, 48 nt
Organism: Schistosoma haematobium
Lineage: Eukaryota; Metazoa; Platyhelminthes; Trematoda; Strigeidida; Schistosomatidae
Source: Rfam
AUCCAGCUGACGAGUCCCAAAUAGGACGAAUUGACGCGUAUCCUGGAC